RNAcentral lists this ribosomal RNA (486 nucleotides) under uncultured bacterium. RNAcentral describes it as "partial 16S ribosomal RNA". It matches the Rfam family "Bacterial small subunit ribosomal RNA", at positions 30 to 507 of the family's 1533-position model. The record is from RNAcentral.
AUUGAACGCUGGCGGCAUGCCUUACACAUGCCAGUCGAACGGCAGCACGGGUGCUUGCACCUGGUGGCGAGUGGCGAACGGGUGAGUAAUACAUCGGAACAUGUCCUGUAGUGGGGGAUAGCCCGGCGAAAGCCGGAUUAAUACCGCAUACGAUCUACGGAUGAAAGCGGGGGACCUUCGGGCCUCGCGCUAUAGGGUUGGCCGAUGGCUGAUUAGCUAGUUGGUGGGGUAAAGGCCUACCAAGGCGACGAUCAGUAGCUGGUCUGAGAGGACGACCAGCCACACUGGGACUGAGACACGGCCCAGACUCCUACGGGAGGCAGCAGUGGGGAAUUUUGGACAAUGGGCGAAAGCCUGAUCCAGCAAUGCCGCGUGUGUGAAGAAAGCCUUCGGGUUGUAAAGCACUUUUGUCCGGAAAGAAAUCCUUGGCCCUAAUACGGUCGGGGGAUGACGGUACCGGAAGAAUAAGCACCGGCUAACUACGUG